This 253-nucleotide ribosomal RNA is filed under the name uncultured bacterium. RNAcentral's name for it is "partial 16S ribosomal RNA". It matches the Rfam family "Bacterial small subunit ribosomal RNA", at positions 524 to 776 of the family's 1533-position model. The record is from RNAcentral.
UACGUAGGCAGCGAGCGUUGUUCGGAAUUACUGGGCGUAAAGAGUGUGUAGGCGGUGCUCCAAGUCUGUUGUGAAAUCUCCCGGCUUAACCGGGAGGGUGCGGCGGAAACUGGAAUGCUUGAGGGUGGGAGAGGUAAGCGGAAUUCCUGGUGUAGCGGUGAAAUGCGUAGAUAUCGAGAGGAACACCUGCGGCGAAGGCGGGUUGCUGGGCUGACACUGACGCUGAUGCGCGAAAGCUAGGGGAGCGAACGGG